Non-coding RNA from Aedes aegypti (yellow fever mosquito), 46 nucleotides. The record is from Rfam. Lineage: Eukaryota; Metazoa; Arthropoda; Insecta; Diptera; Culicidae.
CAUUUGGCUCUUUUCAGGGCCACCAAAUGUGCGUGAAAGAGUUAAU